RNAcentral lists this ribosomal RNA (497 nucleotides) under uncultured bacterium. RNAcentral's name for it is "partial 16S ribosomal RNA". It matches the Rfam family "Bacterial small subunit ribosomal RNA", at positions 28 to 507 of the family's 1533-position model. The record is from RNAcentral.
GACGAACGCUGGCGGCGUGCCUAAUACAUGCAAGUAGAACGCUGAAGCUUGGUGCUUGCACCGAGCGGAUGAGUUGCGAACGGGUGAGUAACGCGUAGGUAACCUGCCUGGUAGCGGGGGAUAACUAUUGGAAACGAUAGCUAAUACCGCAUAAGAGUAGAUGUUGCAUGACAUUUGCUUAAAAGGUGCAAUUGCAUCACUACCAGAUGGACCUGCGUUGUAUUAGCUAGUUGGUGAGGUAACGGCUCACCAAGGCAACGAUACAUAGCCGACCUGAGAGGGUGAUCGGCCACACUGGGACGGAGACACGGCACAGAGUCCUACGGGAGGCAGCAGUAGGGAAUCUGCGGCAAUGGGCGGAAGUCUGACCGAGCAACGCCGAGUGAGUGAAGAAGGUUUUCGGAUCGGAAAGCUCUGUUGUAAGAGAAGAACGAGUGUGAGAGUGGAAAGUUCACACUGUGACGGUAUCUUACCAGAAAGGGACGGCUAACUACGUG